GAUGAACGCUGGCGGCGUGCCUAAUACAUGCAAGUCGAGCGAACAGACGAGGAGCUUGCUCCUCUGACGUUAGCGGCGGACGGGUGAGUAACACGUGGAUAACCUACCUAUAAGACUGGGAUAACUUCGGGAAACCGGAGCUAAUACCGGAUAAUAUAUUGAACCGCAUGGUUCAAUAGUGAAAGACGGUUUUGCUGUCACUUAUAGAUGGAUCCGCGCCGAAUUAGCUAGUUGGUAAGGUAACGGCUUACCAAGGCAACGAUGCGUAGCCGACCUGAGAGGGUGAUCGGCCACAAUGGAACUGAGACACGGUCCAGACUCCUACGGGAGGCAGCAGUAGGGAAUCUUCCGGAAUGGGCGAAAGCCUGACGGAGCAACGCCGCGUGAGUGAUGAAGGUCUUCGGAUCGUAAAACUCUGUUAUUAGGGAAGAACAAAUGUGUAAGUAACUAUGCACGUCUUGACGGUACCUAAUCAGAAAGCCACGGCUAACUACGUG
RNAcentral lists this ribosomal RNA (497 nucleotides) under uncultured bacterium. RNAcentral describes it as "partial 16S ribosomal RNA". It matches the Rfam family "Bacterial small subunit ribosomal RNA", at positions 28 to 507 of the family's 1533-position model. The record is from RNAcentral.